RNAcentral lists this ribosomal RNA (456 nucleotides) under uncultured bacterium. RNAcentral's name for it is "bacterial SSU rRNA". It matches the Rfam family "Bacterial small subunit ribosomal RNA", at positions 340 to 786 of the family's 1533-position model. The record is from RNAcentral.
UACGGAAGGCAGCAGUGGGGAAUAUUGCACAAUGGGCGAAAGCCUGAUGCAGCUAUGCCGCGUGUAUGAAGAAGGCCUUAGGGUUGUAAAGUACUUUCAUCGGGGAGGAAAAAACAAAACUAAUAAUUUUAUUUCUUGACGUUACCCGAAAAAGAAGCACCGGCUAACUCCGUGCCAGCAGCCGCGGUAAUACGGAGGGUGCUAGCGUUAAUCAGAAUUACUGGGCGUAAAGAGCACGUAGGUGGUUUUUUUAAGUCAGAUGUGAAAUCCCUGGGCUUAACCUAGGAACUGCAUUUUGAAACUGAAAUACUAGAGUAUCGUAGAGGGAGGUAGAAUUCUAGGUGUAGCGGUGAAAUGCGUAGAUAUCUGGAGGAAUACCUGUGGCGAAAGCGGCCUCCUAAACGAAUACUGACACUGAGGUGCGAAAGCGUGGGGAGCAAACAGGGAUUAGAUACC